Molecule: long non-coding RNA, 6714 nt
Organism: Lathyrus oleraceus (garden pea)
Lineage: Eukaryota; Viridiplantae; Streptophyta; Magnoliopsida; Fabales; Fabaceae
Exons: 2
Source: RefSeq, a predicted model, not a curated record
GACUACUCAUUAUUGCUUUUGUAAAAUACUAAAAAAUUGAAACCUGCAUUGGUGAUGACUUGUAAGAGUUAUAGAUCAAUCUCUUUAGUUUUUUAUUUUAUUUUUUACUUUGCGCUUUUUCAUAGCCAUAAGAACAGCAGCCUUUAGCACAUUUUCCUGAACUAUUUAUAUAAAUGCGCACCCUUUCAGGCUCCACACGAUACCCUGAAAGCUUUUUUUUAUUGCAAGACAUUGAUGAUAUUGUCAACUCAAUGAGAACAAUAGGCUUAUACAUAAGAUGCUCUCAGUGACCAUUUUUGGUUUUGUUUUGGUUACCAUAUUUUAAUUUACAGUAAAUAAAAUGGAUUACAUGAAACUGAACAAAUUUUUGCUCUUCGAAAUAAAUAGUGAAAAUGUAGCAACUUUUCAUCUAUGCUGCCCAGUGAUGAAAUAAUAGACUAAUGACCGGCUUCAUGGUUUUGUUCAUAACUUGACUUGCACCAUUCUUUCUCUUUCUCUCCCUCUCUAACUCAAUGUGCGUCUGAAUUUGUGUGUGUAUGAUCAUAAUCUUUGUUUUUCUCUCUCUGGCCAUCUGUUUAUGAUGAUGCAUGCAAGAAGGUUGUGAACGAAGCCAUUGCAAAUGCCUUACAUGAUAAUGUUUUCAUGAUAAUGAUUUUAUCUAUGAGAUUUGAGGGUUGUGUUUCCUUUUUCUUUAUGUCAAUUGAUCUAAGCCAUACUAUGUAAUAACAAUGUGAUGCUGUCAUUGCAAGAGGGGUUUCUGCUUUGCUUACCAAAUUCAUAUUGUAUAACAAUAGUAUGCUGUUGCAGAAACUCAAAAUCUAGACUAUUUUCCCAGAGCCAUCUCUAAAAUAUAGUUUUUCUCACUGUCUUAGUUUAGGUAUUGGCUCUCUGUUAUCAAUUAUUUGAAGCUUAUGUCUAUCAUAUUCCUUCACUCAACAUGACUGAAAUAAACUCAGUGAGUAUGCUAACAAUGGUGUGUUAUUGCACUUUUAUUUCUGAAGUAGAAUCACAGAUUUUGAACAUUGACGAUGGUGUCUCAACCGAGAACAAUAGGCUUGUAAACAUGGUGCUCUCUGUGCCCAUUUAUUUAUUUCAACCAAAACUGUGGUGUUAAACAUUGACAUUAGCUUGUUUUUCUGUUUACCUAUUUCUAGAGGUCUCUUUUUCGUUUUCCCUUCAUUUUAUAUUACACAAGUUUACUCUUUCAAAUGUAAACUGAAAAUGUAGCAAUUUUUCUGCAAUGCUAUGCUGCCCAAUGAUGUAAAAAUAGACUAUUGAGCUGCUUGCUACAUGGUUUUGUUCAUAACCCACCUUGCAACAUUCUUUCUUUCUGGAUCUCUCUCUCUCUCUCUCUGAAUGUGUGUGUAUGUGAAUCAUGAUCUUUCUUUCUCUCUCCGUCUCUCUCUCUCUCUCUCUCUGGAUAUCUAUAUCUAUCCAUCUAUCUAUGAUGCAAGUUGCUUGUGAAUGAAUCCAUUGUAAAUGCCGUAGAUGAUUUUGUUUUUAGCUAUGAGAUCUGAGGGCCCUGUGUUUCCUUUUUUAUGUAGAUUGAGCUAAGCCAUAUUAUAUAACAUAGAGAUGCUGUCAUUGCAAGAUGGGUUUCUGCUAUAGUUACCAUGUUCACACUGUAUAACAACAGUAUGCUAUUGCAGAAACUCAAAUUCUAUAAAACAUUGUCCCAGAGCCAUCUCUAAAAUAUAGUAUUGGCUCUCUGUUAUCAACUAUUCCCAACAGGACUGAAAUAUACUCUAGAGUGUGCUAUUUUCCUUUAACAACAAUGCUGUGCUAUUGCAUUUUUAUAUCUGAGCUGGAAUCGCAGAUUCUUAUUUCUUCUCAACCUGCAUUUAUCGUUUAUGUUUAACACAUUUUACUUGGAAGGUUAAAUUAAGUAUCAUUUUAAUUAUUGUUGAAUUGUUGUACUUGAUUUUCCAAUGUAUUAUUUUCAUCUGCAAAUUUACCAUGCUAUUUCCUUUAUCUUGAAAUUGAUUACUUUAACUUGUUUAUUUCUGCUUUUCACUUUUCACUUCUUGUGGAUUUCCUUCUCAAUUGACGACAACCUAUUAUGCCGACUCUAUUGGAGAAAUUCCAUAGUGUCUUAUGGAUGUGCUCAAUGAUGACGAAUGCUUAUAAAGAUAUGGUACUCUGAAUUAAUAUUCAAAGCCUUUCCGUCCCUUCUGCUCUUUUCACACUGCCAUCACUAUUGACUUCUUUUUUUCUUCUUCUUCUACUCUGUUGUACCAUCAUCAUUAUUAUUAAUUGUUAUUACUAUUAUUAUUCAUAGUCACAGUGGGUUGAGAUGGUGGAGGUUGUGCCUUGUGGCACUCCCUUGAUGGAUGUUGAGAGGCUUUUAUGGAUGUUGAAAAAAGUACAAAUCUAACAAUAUCUGAGGGCUGAGCUGCUACCUUUUGUUUGGAUAAUCUUAUAAGUCCGUUCUUUUGUUCAUUUAUUUUAAAUGUUAUCUUCUGGACACUAGCUACCUGACUAUGCCCUAGUUGAGGAGAAGUUGUGAAAAGUUUAGGUGCUCUUUCCUUUCUCUACCAAUUUCUCUAAUUUUCCAUGUCCUCUUUUCUUUGCAGUUUGUCACCUCAUAAAUGGCUAUUCACCUAUUUCCACUUGUAAAGGAGCUAUAUCGUUAAUGCUCUUAACCAAUGUGCAAGUAUUCUCGCUUUCAUAUCUUCUUGAACAGCUCUAAAACUUUCAAUGUUGACAUAUUUAUUGUUUAGGGAGUCAUUGAUAUGUUUAUCAUUUGAUUUCAUUUCAGUUAAACUUGGAUGGGAUAUGGAUUCACUCUAAUGUUUCAUAUUCAUAUGCUGCCGCUCUCUCUAGUUAUAUAUAAUUCUCAUUUAUGCUUCAUAGAUUUUUUUUAACUUGUUAAGUUUACUAUCAUAUUACUUGUUGUAUUUUCAAUGUUUUACUCUCAUCAUCAUGGGUCAACCCUCUUUCCUUUAUCUUAAACUAUUGAACAGUUCUUUUUGUUUAUUGCUACUUCUUAAUUUUCCUGAAUAGAUUUGCUUUACCAUAUAGUAGAAUUAUUUUACUUGUUCAAUUUCCUUGGGAUAAUUUGCAUAUAGUUUCUUCUGUUUGUAAGGUCUUCGACGCAGGCCUUGUAUUUUCUGUAUUUAAAUACUUACUAAUAAUUUUAAAUAUAAUAAUAUAUAAUUUAACUAUAUAUAUUUUCUGUAUUGAAACCUGCAUUGGUUGUGACUCAGCUGUAAUAGUCAUAGAUCAAUAAGUUCAGUUGUGUGUUUUAUUUUAUACUAUGCGCUUUUUCUUGGUCACGAGAACAGCAGCCUUUAGCUCAUUUUCCUAAACUAUUUAUUUAAAUGCGCACCCUGAAAGCUUCACAUGCUACCGUGAUUUAGGCUUUUUUUUUAAUUGUAAAACUUUGAUGAUAAUUGUCAUCUGAGAACAAUAUUCUUGUAGAUAAGAUGCUUUCAGUAUCCUGUUGCAGAAACUCAAAAUCUAUAGUACAUUGUCCCAGAGCCAUCUCUAAAAUAUAGUAUUCGCUCUCUGUUAUCAACUGUUUGAAGCUUAUGUCUAUCAGAUUCCCUUCACUCAACAGGACUGAAAUAACUCUGAGUGUGUUAUAACAAUGGUGCGCUAUUGCAUUUUUAUUUCUCAAGUAGAAUCACAGGUUUUUUAUUUCUUAUUUCUUAUUCUAAAUCUGCAAUUAUCAUUUAUGCCUAACAGAUUUUACUUGGCAGGUUGAAUUCCCUACCAUUUUCAUUACGGUUGAAUUUUGGCAAUCAUACUUUGUUGAAUACUUGAUUUUCCUAUGUAUUAUUUUCAUCUGCAAAUUCACCCAGAUAUUUCCUUUUUCUUGAAUCUGAGUACUUUAAGUUAUUUAUUUAUGCUUUUCAAUUUUCAUUUCUUGUGGAUUUUCUUUUCUAUUGAUAACUACCUAUUGUGCUGACUCUAUUCCCUUUGGAGAAAUUCCCUAGUGUUUUAUGGAUAUGCCCAAUGAAGAAGGCUUAUAAAGAUAUGGCACUUUGAAUAUAAUUCAACGCCUUUCCGUCUCUUCUGCCCUCUUCACACUGCCAUCACUAUUGACUUGUUCUUGUUCUUGUUCUUGUUCUUCAACUUCUUCCACUUCUUCUUUUUCUUCUUCUUCUACACUGUCAUUGCCAUCAUCAUUAUUAUUAUUACUAUUGUUAUUAUUAUUAUUCAUAGUGACAGUGGGUUGAGGUGGCGGAGGUUGCGCCCCUUGGGCACUCCCUUGAUGGGGAUGUUGAGAGGCUUUUAUGAAUGUUGAAAAAGUACAAAUCAACAAUAUCUGAGGGCUGAGUUACUAUCUUUUGUUUGAAUAAUCUUUUCAGUUGGUUCAUUUCUUCAUUUAUUUUAUGUCAUCUUCAAGACUCUAGCUGCCUGCCUGACUAUGCCCCAGUUUAGGAGAGGUGGAGAGUUUAGGUGCUCUUUCCUGUCUUACUAAUUUCUCUUGUAUAUUCUGUCCUAUGGUCUUGCAGGUUUACAUGCCAUAAUUGGCUCUCAUUCACCUAUUUCCACUUCUAAAGGAGCUUUAGUUAAUGUCCAGAACAAAUGUCCAAUACUCCGACUUUCUCUUUUUAAACUGUAAACAAACUUUCAAUGUUGACAUAUUUAUUGUUUAUGGAGUCGAUGUUAUGUUUAACAGUAGAUUUUAGUUAAACUUGGAUGUGAUGUGAUAAGUUUCUAUUGGAAUUUAGAUGUUUCUUAUUCAUCUGUUACUUCAUCUAGUUAUCACUUAGUGUAGAUUUGCUCUACCAUCAAACGCAACUUAUUUUACUUGUUCAAUUUCCUUGGGAUAAAUUUGCAUAUAAUUUAUUCCCUGUUUGCCCGAUGAUGAUUUUUCCAUCCAAGACAUGUUACUCUGAAUAUCAUUCACAGCUUUUCCAUCCAUGAUGCCUUUCUUCCCACUGUCUUCAAUUCUUACUACGCCGCUGCUGCUUCUGUUGUUGUUGCUGAUGAUGCUUUCUACUUUCUUUUCUUCUCCGUCUUUUAAUUUCCAUUGUUGUUGUUAUUACUAAUACAGACAGUGGGUAGAGAUGGCAGCGGUUGUGUGAUUCUUUCUCUUGUGCACUGCCUGACGGAUGGCGAGAGGCUUUUAUGGACGUUGAAAAUGUACUAACCUACUAAAUAUCUAAGGGCACGGUUGCUAUCUUGUGUUUGAAUAACAACUUUUUAUAGUCACAGACCGAACAGUUCGGUUCUAUGUUUUAUUUUUUAUUUUGGCUGUUUUCUUGGACUGAUUUUUGGGAUAUCAUCAAUGAAUAUGCAUGCCCUUAGCUACAGCGGCUGUUAGCAUUUGCCUGCACUGUUUCAAUAAAUGCACACCCUAAAAAGCUUCACAUGUUAAAGCAAUGUAGGAUUUUAAUUCCGUACAUUUUAAUUACGGUUGAAUUUUGGCAAUCAUAUUUUGUUGAAUUCUUGAUCUUCCUAUAUUAUUUUCAUCUGCAAAUUUACCCUGAUAUUUCCUUUUUCUUGAAUUUGAGUACUUUUAAGUUGUUUAUUUCUGCUUUUCACUUUUCAUUUCUUGUGGAUUUUCUUUUCAGUUGAGAUAACUACCUAUUGCGCUGACUCUAUUCCAUCUGGAGAAAUUCCCUAGUGUCUUAUGGAUAUGCCCAAUGACGAAAGCUUAUAAAGAUAUGGUACUUUGAAUAUAAUUCGAAGCCUUUCCAUCCCUUCUGCCCUCUUCACACUGCCUCCACUAUUGACUUGUUCUUCUUCUUCAACUUCUUCCACUUCUUUUUCUUCUUCUUCUACACUGUCAUCACCAUCAUCAUCAUUAUUAUUAUUACUAUUACUAUUUAUAGUGACUGUGGGUUGAGAUGGCGGAGAUUGUGCCUUGUGGGCACUCUCUUGAAGAGGAUGUUGAGAGGCUCUUAUGGAUGUUGAAAAGGAAUCUAGCUGUCUGCCUGACUAUGCCCCAGUUGACAGAUUAAGUUCAGAUAUCAUAUUACUAAUUGUUGUAUUUUGGCAAUUCUGUUUUGAAAAUUACUUGCAUUUUAACUGUUUUUUAUUGUCUUUGUCAAAGUUGGUAUUUUACUUGUUCGAUUUCCUUGGGAUAAAUUUGCAUAUAAUUUCUUCCCUAAAUGCCCGAUGAAGAUUUCCCUUGCUAGAGAUGUUACUCUGAAUAUCAUUCACAGCUUUUCCAUCCAUUCUGCCUUUCUUCCCACUGUCAUCACUUCUAUCUAUGGUGUUGAUGUUGUUGUUCUACUUCCUUUUCUUCUUCGUCUUCUCAAUUUCAUUGUUGCUGUUAUCACUACUACUAUCACUACUACUGACAGUGGGUAGAGACGGUGGAGGUUGUGUGAUUCUUUUUCUUGUGCACCGCCUGAUGGAUGGCGAGAGGCUUGUAUGCACGUUGAAAAAGUACUAACCUACUAAAUAUCUGAGGGCGUAGUAGCCAUCUUGUGAUUGAAUAAUUUUUUCAAGGGUUUCCGUUUUAAUUUUGUAUUUGACAUGUUAAUUUCAUGAAUCAUGACUAACAUCCUUGUUCUAUCUGUCAAAUAUCUGUCGUCUUUGUAAUUUUAGGUACACUUGUUUGCUGUGCAAGUUAGAGAGAAAGGAAGUGGGGAACUUAUUUUUUAGGACUUUACAAAUGUUAUAGUAUUUCUUACAAACUUUUUUAAUUUAUUAACUUCUAGGAACAGUGAAAACUAUACAGCAUUACAAAUUUGACGCUCAAAGAUCUCUAAUAAAAUACCUAUAAUGGGUGGUUCCAAAGAUUUUACACCGGCA